This is a long non-coding RNA of Chrysemys picta bellii (western painted turtle), 1464 nucleotides long. NCBI's taxonomy places the organism in Eukaryota, Metazoa, Chordata, Testudines, Emydidae. The record is from Ensembl.
AAUGGCACCUGGCAUCUGACACCCAGACUUUUUUUAUUUAUUUUCAUUAUUAUUUUUCUUUUGUUCCAGUGUCUGUUCCUGAGACCUUACAGGCCACCUCAUUCUUUGGAAUCUCGUUGGCUGGUGUGAGCUCACGUCCCUGUGAAAGGUUUUCCUGGGAAACAUCAUAAGACCUAAACAAGCAACAGAAGUGAAAAGCUGAAGAGGUGCAGCAUGGCUCACAACUGCCUGCAGUGCAUCAAGUACCUAAUGUUUGUCUUCAACCUCCUCUUCUGGUGUCUCUUGCUUUUCAUACAGAGUCCUUUGCUGGAGCAGGGACAGGAUUGGUAGCACCUCUGCCACCAGUAAAAUUAAGAGUUUUCUUUGAAGCAACAGAUAAUGCACGAGCCAAUAUAAAACAUCAGAAGAAAAGAAGCUGCACAACAAUGAUUUGGAAGAAGACUCGCAUAGAGAACAAACAGUAACAAAAACAAAGGAAGAAGGUCAGAGGCAGAGAAGCUUAGUAGUUAUCGCUGAUGAUUUCUAUGGAAAUGUCCCCAUGUUUUUAGGUCAUAUCUAAUAUUGGUUCCAAGGCUUGAAAUCCCUAUCUUGUGAACAUUUUCUCUCGUACCAGUGAGAACACUGCUGGGGGGAGGGGAACUACUGUAAUUUGUGUUACUAGUAGACGGGCACAGUGCUACCUACUGGACACAUCUGAGUGUGAUGAGUAACUGAGAAGCCUCAGAGCAAGACACUUGGUCUGCUUUGCUCAUGCUGAACAAAUCCGCCUUUUGUUUCAGUUUCUAAUCCAUAUAAAGUUUUUGACUGAUACAGUUCUGAAAAGUCUGGCACUGCUUCACCAUGGCUUCUGAAUCAGAAAAAUGCAGUUCUUUUAAACACUGAACUGCAACAAUCCAAAAUAUGGUUUCUCUGAUUGAAAUGCAGCACUGUUAGACACUGUGUGACAGCUUUGGGAGUCACUGCUUUUAAAAAAGAGGUAAUUAUUUAAAACUUCCAGCAUUGCACCCCCCAGCUCUCUUUGCCAGGUUGUCACAUUAGCCUUUCACCUCUGAAUAGAUUAAUUCCAAUUGUAACGUAAGUCACAAGUGAAAAAAUGAUACUUGGCAUCACCUUCUAGUGCUUAGAGGACACUGGCCCAUGUCAGAAGUAAGCAUAGUUUAGGGCUAGAUUGCAAGGCUGGCUGCACCCCUACAUGGGGUUGUAAGACCCUCCCCUUACACCUCUGUACAGGAUAUCUAGGUUUGCCUAGAUAAAAGCACAGCACAAGCUUGUCUCCUGACAUGUGCAUGCGCGCAUACACACACAAGAGCAGAUGAAGAGAUGGGGAUUGGGUGGAGCCUUUGUUCUGUCCUCAUCAUGCACUAGCCAGCAUAGCUGAGCUGGUGUGUCAGCGCCCCCUAGGAGCAACUGUGGAGGAGGAGGAGAUGGGAAUUCAGCUACAGUUCCCUCCUUGUAUAACUCCUU